Neopsephotus bourkii (Bourke's parrot) is the source of this 469-nucleotide long non-coding RNA. RefSeq lists it as uncharacterized. Lineage: Eukaryota; Metazoa; Chordata; Aves; Psittaciformes; Psittacidae. The record is from RefSeq and is a predicted model, not a curated record. The transcript is spliced from 2 exons.
CUUGUUCCAGCAACUUCAGAACCUUCUGUCAACAAUUCACAGACUGCCAAACUGCAAAGGAGCUAUUGCUUGCUGAUGUGGAAGCAUUGACUGCAGAGGUUGCUUUGUGGCUGAGAUGCCAGAUACUUGAAGCUCUACACAAAGACUUCUCCAGAUGCCACAGAACACCAUCAGCCAUGAUACGAAGUAUUAGCCAUAGCACUAAAUAUUGCUUUUAAAUGUCUGAGUGAUCUCAGAACACCAAACAGAAAACACCACAAGAUGCUACCAGCUACCUAUUGGAGGAUUCAACUUGAAGGCUGAAUUGCAGGUAUAGAUUGAGCAAGCUGGGAACAGGGGGAAGAACUUCAAACAAACAAAUCAGCCACCUCAGGCCUUUAAUCCUAACAGGGGAAAAAAUAUGCUGAGAAAGGCAAAAUAUUUUUCUGUAUCAGCAGUAUCUUACAGCUAAUAAAUGAAAUAUGACAGU